AGGAUUAACGCUGGCGGCGUGCCUGACACAUGCAAGUCGAACGAGGCCGCAAGGCCGAGUGGCGGACGGGUGAGUAACACGUGACCAACCAACCUCGAAGUUGGGAAUAGCUCUGCGAAAGUAGGGGUAAUACCGAAUGUGGCCCAGGGCGGGCAUCCGCCUUGGUCUAAAGAUUCAUCGCUUCGAGACGGGGUCGCGGCCUAUUAGCUUGUUGGUGAGGUAACGGCUCACCAAGGCGAUGAUGGGUAGCUGGUCUGAGAGGACGACCAGCCACACUGGGACUGAGACACGGCCCAGACUCCUACGGGAGGCAGCAGUGAGGAAUCUUCCGCAAUGGGCGAAAGCCUGACGGAGCAACGCCGCGUGUGGGAUGAAGACUCUAGGGUUGUAAACCACUGUCGGAGGGGACGAUCGUGACGGUACCCUCCAAGAAACGCCCCGGACUAACUACGCGCCAGCAGCCGC
RNAcentral lists this ribosomal RNA (465 nucleotides) under uncultured bacterium. Its description in RNAcentral is "SSU rRNA". It matches the Rfam family "Bacterial small subunit ribosomal RNA", at positions 26 to 518 of the family's 1533-position model. The record is from RNAcentral.